RNAcentral lists this transfer RNA (72 nucleotides) under Ovis aries (sheep). It matches the Rfam family "tRNA". Rfam says of the family: Transfer RNA (tRNA) molecules are approximately 80 nucleotides in length. Their secondary structure includes four short double-helical elements and three loops (D, anti-codon, and T loops). Further hydrogen bonds mediate the characteristic L-shaped molecular structure. tRNAs have two regions of fundamental functional importance: the anti-codon, which is responsible for specific mRNA codon recognition, and the 3' end, to which the tRNAs corresponding amino acid is attached (by aminoacyl-tRNA synthetases). tRNAs cope with the degeneracy of the genetic code in two manners: having more than one tRNA (with a specific anti-codon) for a particular amino acid; and 'wobble' base-pairing, i.e. permitting non-standard base-pairing at the 3rd anti-codon position. The record is from Rfam by way of RNAcentral. Lineage: Eukaryota; Metazoa; Chordata; Mammalia; Artiodactyla; Bovidae.
UCCCUGGUGGUCCAGUGGUUAAGACUCUGUGCUUCCAACGCAGGAGCAUAGGGUCAAUCCCUGGUCAGGGAA